UUCAGUGAUUAAAGCAAACGUACCAGAAGAGUCUUUUAUUUUGAAAUACGUUCACAAACAUAUGCGCUGGGUCCAUUGAUUCGCGCUAUACGAGUCCACCGAAGAUGUUUCAUGAACGUAAUGCUAGAAUUACUCUAUUAAGGUCGGAAUUUACCAUUUCACUUCAUAAAAAUGUCCUGAAGAGGUUUCUGCCGCCGGAGAGCCAGCUAAAGGAUUACAAGUGUGAAAAUGAGCGGCUUUGAGUGAGAGAAACUGCGGCCUUAUCCACAGUGAGGCACAGUGCACAAAUGGCUUCAGAAUACCUGAACAUAUCAGCCAAAGAUGCCGAGACUUCCAUUAAGCAGUUGAUGACAAGAAGAGAGACUAUGCCUGCUGGGUUCCAUUGAGAAGAUCACAGAGAUUCCAAAAUAACAAACAGAUUAUUUUAAAUCAGUGUUUUGUGCCUUUGUUCAUUUCAUUUAAUGUUUGCUCUUCUUUUUUGUUUCUUGCACAUAAUGAAAUGCCUUUUGCACAUAGUUAAUGCAAUUAGUGUUAUUCUCUUUUACAGUUAUCAUACUACAAUCCCUUUUCAAAAACAUGUUGCGACGCUGUGCAAAAUGUCAAGGAAAACAGAAAUCAAUGAUGUGCAAAUCAUUUAAACCCUAUAUUUAAUUAAAAUAGUACAAAUACAGCAUAUCAAAUGUUGAAAUUGAGAAAUUUCAUGGUUUCUUGAAAAAUAUAUGCUCAAUUUGAAUUUGAUGACAGCAACACAUCAUUGGUGCCUUCACAGACGUGCACUAAUGCAUCCCUGUAGCAUCACAGAUACUGAUUUUCAAACUGUGCGCUCAUAACAAGCCAGAUGAUCCCUGUUCUCCUUAGCCCAGAGGAUGCGUUAAUGUAUUAAAUUUUGAUGCUUUGGAUCACAGGACACUUGUCCACUUUGGUUUGGGUCCAAAGAAGCCAGCGUUUUUUUCUGGAUCCUGUUUAUAAAUGGCUUCUUCGUGUGGUAGAGUUUUAACUUGCAUUUGUAGAUGCAGUGACAAACUGUGUUCACAAACAGUGGGUU
Pygocentrus nattereri (red-bellied piranha) is the source of this 1045-nucleotide long non-coding RNA. RefSeq lists it as uncharacterized. The transcript is spliced from 3 exons. The record is from RefSeq and is a predicted model, not a curated record. Lineage: Eukaryota; Metazoa; Chordata; Actinopteri; Characiformes; Serrasalmidae.